RNAcentral lists this non-coding RNA (98 nucleotides) under unclassified sequences. RNAcentral describes it as "pemK RNA". It matches the Rfam family "pemK RNA". RNAcentral also lists the same sequence under 1 other name. The record is from RNAcentral.
AUAAUGAUACUCCUGUAUAGCCACAGUCCGAGCGUUAAAAGCGUCGCAGGCAAUGGGUACAGCUCCGGCAGACCGUCGGAGGGGUGAAACGCCCGUGA